This is a non-coding RNA of Pelobates cultripes (western spadefoot toad), 308 nucleotides long. Lineage: Eukaryota; Metazoa; Chordata; Amphibia; Anura; Pelobatidae. The record is from the annotation of a GenBank genome assembly.
CCCCGUAUGUCCGAGAGUCAGAACCGUGUACUUGACCUCAGUACCGUCUCUCCCUAGUCAUAUAUCCCCUCCAGGGUGUCACUGUUAUCGCGGAUAUGCCCCAUGGUGUGUGAUUUCACCCUGGCAGACGAGGUGCAUGGUUCCUCCUUCCUACAGUGUGGACUUGGAAGCACCCAUGGCGUCCAGUCUAGAGUUCGGGUGUAGUUCGACGUCUGGUCUGUGAGCUCUAUAGAGCUGAGCUUCUGCGUCUGGUAGGCCUCUAGGGGUCUGGUAAUGGUCGUCUCCUCAUAAGCACCUGGGCUCCAGGG